RNAcentral lists this microRNA precursor (181 nucleotides) under Paramuricea clavata. The record is from RNAcentral. Lineage: Eukaryota; Metazoa; Cnidaria; Anthozoa; Malacalcyonacea; Plexauridae.
CUCGGUUCAAAACUGAACCGAAAAUGCAAGACUUGCUUUAAUUGUUUUCUGUCAGUGUUUAUAUGUAUUGAUCUAGCACAGUGUAAAUAACAUGAGUUCCAUUAUAGUAAAUAAUACAGAAAGAAAUUGAAGGAAAACAAUUAAAGCAAGUCUUGCAUUUUCGGUUCAGUUUUGAACCGAG